This 253-nucleotide ribosomal RNA is filed under the name uncultured bacterium. RNAcentral's name for it is "partial 16S ribosomal RNA". It matches the Rfam family "Bacterial small subunit ribosomal RNA", at positions 524 to 776 of the family's 1533-position model. The record is from RNAcentral.
UACGUAGGGUGCAAGCGUUGUCCGGAAUUAUUGGGCGUAAAGAGCUCGUAGGUGGUUUGUCGCGUUGUUCGUGAAAACCUGAGGCUUAACCUUGGGCGUGCGGGCGAUACGGGCAGACUGGAGUACUGCAGGGGAGACUGGAAUUCCUGGUGUAGCGGUGGAAUGCGCAGAUAUCAGGAGGAACACCGGUGGCGAAGGCGGGUCUCUGGGCAGUAACUGACGCUGAGGAGCGAAAGCGUGGGGAGCGAACAGG